This 218-nucleotide ribosomal RNA is filed under the name uncultured organism. RNAcentral describes it as "partial 16S ribosomal RNA". It matches the Rfam family "Bacterial small subunit ribosomal RNA", at positions 304 to 530 of the family's 1533-position model. The record is from RNAcentral.
UCGCCCGCCGCGCCCCGCGCCCGUCCCGCCGCCCCCGCCCGCUCCUACGGGAGGCAGCAGUGGGGAAUAUUGCACAAUGGGCGAAAGCCUGAUGCAGCAACGCCGCGUGAGCGAUGAAGGCCUUCGGGUCGUAAAGCUCUGUCCUCAAGGAAGAUAAUGACGGUACUUGAGGAGGAAGCCCCGGCUAACUACGUGCCAGCAGCCGCGGUAAUACAAUC